RNAcentral lists this long non-coding RNA (1714 nucleotides) under Nicotiana benthamiana. Its description in RNAcentral is "long non-coding RNA (NBEN_LNC026706)". Lineage: Eukaryota; Viridiplantae; Streptophyta; Magnoliopsida; Solanales; Solanaceae. The record is from RNAcentral.
AUACUACUACGACUUUUGUCUGAAAUAUGAAAUAGAAAGGAGAUAGUAAAUAAAUAAGAUGGGGACUUCGUGUGCUACGGGGCUUAACAUGGAAUGCAAGUAACCACAAUGUCUCCUCAACAGUAGCGCCUAUGCGCCAAGAUGACCACCAAAUGUACGUGGCUCAGUAUCUACAAAAUUAGUGCAGAAAUAUAUUAUGAAUAUAUAAAUCAAUGCGUACCUAGUAAGUAUCUAGCCUAACCCCGAAGAAGUGGUGAUGGAGGAUCGACAUUGACACUUAUUAGUGGUCCAAUAAAUCAAGUACAACAAAAGUAGACAGGUAUGAAGAAUCGCAAGUAAAAGAGUGAAGACAAUAUAUGUACAUAAAAACAAAAGAAUCGCAAGUAAAAUAGUGAAGACAGAUAUAUGUACAUAAAAACAAUUUUCAACAAAAGAAAAAACACAAAAGUUCUCAAAUAUCAAAUAUUAUCGUGAGUGAAAUAUAUUUCAGGUCAAUAACAGCUAAAAUAUCACGUCUCAAUUCAAAUAAAACUAAUAGAUAUGUUGACUCCUAAUCGAAAAUCAUGUACGAUUCUACCGAGGUGAAUGGCCCGUUCCCAUAAGAGUGAUGAUCGGAUAUCCUAUCGUGGUGUAGGGGCCGGUCUUAUAAGAACAACGUACUUUGUUGAAGCAAACGAAUCGAUCCCAUAAGAAUAUAUUAUAUGAUACUUCAAGGUAAACAGCUGGAUCCUAUAAGAAAAUACUACAUGACACUUUCCAGGUGAACGACACAAUCUCAUAAGAGUGUAAUACAUAAUAUUUCCUAGGCGAACAACCCCAUCCUAUUAGAGUACUGUUGAGUCACUCAACUCGAUUCCUUUAGAAUAUAAAACUUUGACGGGUCACUGACCUCUCUUACAAAUAUACGUGCGAGUUGUAAAAUUUAAGAAAACUUUCUGAUGAAUAUACAUAACACAAAAGAAAUCCAUAAAAUGAGGUAUAAUUUCCACGACUAAUGAAGUAGAUCAUCACGUAUCUGAAAUAACAAGUCCGGUACUUAACGCCCGACUGAUCUCAUGUUAAAAUGUAAUUUAAGGCUUUUAAAACAUGCAAGGACAACUCAAGCACUAUAGUUAAACAUGGUAUGAGCCUAAAUCUUCCCAUACAUGAAUAAGAAUCUAGCAUACGCGCGGACACUCAUCACUCGAUACGUGUGUAGCUCCCAUAAUACAUAGCACGUAACAAAUAUAGCAUCUACAGGGUAAUUCCCCCUCAAAAGGUUAGACAGAAGACUUAACUUGAUAUGAAAUUCAACAAUCGGCUCCAAUGCCUCUCUAGCACCUCAAACAAAUGCCAAACAACCCGAACUAGUCAAAUUAUAUGCAAAUCCAUCAAAAUUUACUCAAAGACUUGUAAUUUAAACAUUUAAAAAUAAUUUACAACUCCACACGAAAAGUCGUCAAAGUCAACCCCCAAGAUCACGCACCCGGAUUUCAAAAAUUCUCAAAGAUAAAUACUACCCAUAACACCACGAACUCAAAUAUAUAAUUUAUUCCAAAUUUUAUGUCCAAAUUUGUGGUCAAAAUUCAAAACAAUAUUCCUAGGUUUUCUUCAUAAAUUCCCCAAUUUUACCAAUUUUCAUGUCAAAAAUCCAUACAUGUUCACAAAAAAUAACGAAAAGUGGAUAAGAAAUACUUACCCUCAACUGGUGGAUGAAACAGAUGUCCAAACUCAC